CCCUUAGAUGUCCUGGGCCGCACGCGCGCUACACUGAACGGAUCAGCGCGUUUUCCCUUCCCGAGAGGGACGGGCAACCUGCUGAACCCCGUUCGUGGUAGGGAUCGGGGCUUGCAAUUAUUCCCCGUGAACCAGGAAUGCCCAGUAAGUGCAAGUCAUAAGCUUGCGUUGAUUACGUCCCUGCCCUUUGUACACACCGCCCGUCGCUACUACCGAUUGAACGUUUUAGUGAGGUACUCGGACUGAGCCUCAGAAGAUUCACGUCUUUUGUGCUGCUCGGGAAGAUUCCCAAACUUGAGCGUUUAGAGGAAGUAAAAGUCGUAACA
Molecule: ribosomal RNA, 326 nt
Filed under: uncultured eukaryote
Lineage: Eukaryota
Description: partial 18S ribosomal RNA
Rfam family: Eukaryotic small subunit ribosomal RNA
Source: RNAcentral